RNA transcript from Rhododendron vialii, 1613 nucleotides. It is a transcript of the gene named deSI-like protein At4g17486, with no coding region annotated. Lineage: Eukaryota; Viridiplantae; Streptophyta; Magnoliopsida; Ericales; Ericaceae. The transcript is spliced from 7 exons. The record is from RefSeq and is a predicted model, not a curated record.
UCUUUUCUUUUCUAUAGAAGAGGAUUACUCUUUAAUGCGCUCAACUCCUUCACAAAUCUCUCUCUCUCUCUCUCUCUCUCUCUCUCUCUCACCACACAGCAAAACGACAGCAGAUUCCAACUCUAAUUCUCUAUUGCUGAAUUUUGAGAGUUAUAAGAGUACUAUUGUUGGAGAAUUGACGGGGUGGUGGUGGGUGAGAGAUACAAUGCGGUUGUUUCUGCGGAGUUCGAGUUCUUCUAAGGAGGUUGGAGGAAGCAAUCGUUCUCUUCUUUAUCUCAAUGUCUAUGAUCUAACCCCUAUUAACAACUACCUUUACUGGUUUGGUUUUGGAAUCUUCCAUUCCGGCAUUGAAGGUCUUCCUUCUUCAUUCUUACAAAGAAUGCAUCAACAUAACUGCUCCAGUGGCUCACCCACUCUUGGCGCUUGCUGGAGGAGUCUGCACAUAAUUUGGCAUAUUGGAUUCUGCAGCUUAGUACAUGGCUUGGAGUACGGAUUUGGAGCGCAUGAGUACCCAACGAGUGGGGUAUUUGAGGUGGAACCAAAAAGUUGUCCUGGUUUUAUCUUUAGACGAUCCAUUCUCUUGGGAAGCACAGACAUGUCUUGUUCAGAAUUUCGGUCAUUCAUGGAGCAUCUUUCUGGGAAAUAUCAUGGGGACAGUUACCAUUUGAUUGCCAAGAAUUGCAACCAUUUCACAGAAGAAGUCUGUAUGCGACUCACCGGGAAGCCUAUUCCUGGAUGGGUUAACAGGCUUGCACGAUUAGUUUCAGGUUCUUUCUGCCACUGUCUACUGCCAGAAAGUAUUCAGGCUACAGCAGUCAGACAUUUGCCCGAUCAUCUGGCGUAUUCUGAUGACAGGUCAGAUUCUGGUGGGUCAUCUGUAGAAAUAGAGAGUGAGGAGGAGCCUGAUCACCAUCUGCUGACUAUACCAAACGGAGAUGUGGCAUUUGUGAAGGAAAAACCAGUGAGGCUAGCUAAAGAUCUCCUCUGAUGUUUCAUUCUUGUCCCCUAGUAAUUCGUUGAUUUCCUGUCGUGGGUUUCUGUUGUUUGUAUGCAUCAUCUCUGGGUUGUGAUUGAACAUAUCUCCUUCAGGUUAGCUGAGCUCCUCAAGGUUAUGCUCUUGGCACACUGAUGAUCCAUGAUUUGUUUGUUGCCACGUACUCUUAUUAUAUAGGUGUGGAGCCGGAUUAGUGGAAAUUGAAUCGGAGCAUAUAAGGAUUAAUUUCGGAGAGGUCUUGGAAGAGUUGAUAAUUUUGGAGUAUCUAGAAGAUUAUUUGGAAGGCGGCUUAAGUAUAUUUUGGUGAUGUAAUUUAUUUAUGGAGAAAAUAGGGGCCUAGAAGUGUUUGAAAUACAAUGUAUUUUGGAGUUUAUUUUUAGAAAAUAGCAGGACGUUACAGGUGGAGCCUCAACCAAUUGGAAAAAAGAAAAUCAUGGUGGCAAGGUCGCCAAUUAUAUAUACUAGGGUAAAAGGCACGUGCUUCACACGAAAUUGUCAUGCUCGUUAGUUUAUUUUUGGUAAUUUUCUUUGUUUUAUAUAAUCUAUACUUUGUAUGGAUUUGAAUUUAAAGUUGAAUGUGUACGAUUAUUUCACCCAUCAAACAGUUAGUCAUGGUUUU